Molecule: RNA transcript, 1128 nt
Organism: Cucumis sativus (cucumber)
Lineage: Eukaryota; Viridiplantae; Streptophyta; Magnoliopsida; Cucurbitales; Cucurbitaceae
Gene name: serine/arginine-rich SC35-like splicing factor SCL33
Exons: 7
Source: RefSeq, a predicted model, not a curated record
CGGUUCUCCUAUUCUCAGGAAAUCGAAAAUGAGAGGUAGAAGCUACAGUUACAGUCCAUCACCACCAAGAAGUUAUGGCAGGAGAUAUCGUAGCCCUAGUCCAAGGGGUCGUGGAGGUCGUAGAAGGGACCUGCCAACAAGUCUUUUGGUUAGGAACUUGAGGCACGACUGCAGGCCAGAGGACCUACGAGGAUUAUUUGGGCGGUUUGGUCCCCUUAAGGACAUUUACUUGCCACGAGAUUAUUAUUCUGGUAAUAGUGUUGAAGACAACCAAUGAAGUAAUAAGAGUAUCUUGUGGAAGACAAAAAGCAAGUAAUUUGUUUUUUGUGUUGAAGACAUUCAAGUAAGUUCUGAUGACUUAAAUGUGUACAUGAAGAUUCGGUGGAAGUUGGGUUAGAGUACAUUGAGAAGAAGUUCAAGUCUUGAAGAAUUACAUCUCAAUUUUUUCUUAGCCACUCAGAAGAGAACCGCGUGGUUUUGGAUUUGUUCAGUUCGUUGAUGCUGCUGAUGCUGCUGAUGCCAAGUAUGAAUUGGAUGGCCAAGUUCUCCUGGGUCAUGAACUAACUGUUGUGUUUGCUGAGGAAAACAGGAAGAGACCUGAAGAGAUGAGAGCACGGGACUCAUCAAGGGGUCGGUCCUACAGUUACAGCCACCGGCAUUCACCAUUGCGAUAUUCACAAUCACCACACUAUGAUCGAAAAUAUUCACGUUGUCCAGAGUAUUAUUCCCCUGCACGGUCCAGACGAUAUUCAAGGUCGCCUAGGGGUCCGAGGUACAGGGAGCAAUCGUACUCAAGGUCACCAUCUGAUCCAAGGGGCCGCAGUUACAGCCGAAGCAGGAGCCGUAGCUAUAGCCGAAGUUAUUCUAGGUGAGUAAAAAUAGUUUUAUUCAAGUUUUAAGAAAAGCCAGCGAGCCAGCUGAUCUUUCUGAAGACAGACCCAGAAACUAUGAUUUAAAUUAUGCUUGGAAUUUGGAUUUCAGAGGCUUUGUAUAUGUGUUGUGUUUUAGAAAAUGCUUUUGUUUAAGAGAUAAAACUGAUUUUUAUGCUCUUAUUGAACAAAUUAAUGAGCUUUUAUGGCUGUUUUCUCCAUGUAAAAUGAAACUUUGGAUUUUUAGACUUUUCUUUUC